Long non-coding RNA from Malaclemys terrapin pileata, 995 nucleotides. RefSeq lists it as uncharacterized. The record is from RefSeq and is a predicted model, not a curated record. The transcript is spliced from 3 exons. Lineage: Eukaryota; Metazoa; Chordata; Testudines; Emydidae.
UAUGUCCAAUUAUUGUGUCUAAUGUGUUUUAUCCUAGGGGGAGAGCAAGGCUAGAAGGACUCUAAACCUGGAUUGAAUGCAGUUUGAUCCUGUCCAUGUUGACAGAUGAAAGGGCUUGAAUCCAUACACCCGGCAGAUCUGUCAAGGCUUGUGCGAGAAGGGCUACGAGCGACAUGCUGCAGUUCAAAGUGAAGAUAAAGGAGCUGAGGCUGGCAAGGGAGGCAAAUCGUUGCUUCGGUGCUGCACCUAAGACCUGCCAGUUCUAUAAGGAGCUGGAUGCUAUCCUCGGUGGCAACCCCACCUCCACCACCAAGAGUCCCGUGGAUACUUUGGAGGGAACGGAGGCGGCGGAAAGAGAAUCUAACCCAGAGGACGAAGUCAUUGAUGAAGAGGUGGAGUUAGAUGAUGGUGUGAGGCUCCCGGGGGCUAGGCAACCAGGAACUGUUCAGCACUCCGGAGUUGUCUAGCCAGUCUCAGCAGUUGCUCUCCGGUGGGCAAGAAGCAGGAGAGAAGAUGCCUGAUGUGGCCUUCAGGAACACUCCGCACAUACCGGCCAAGCAUCUCCGCCAGAUAAGAAAGUGCCCAAGACGGAGCAAAGAAGACAUUCCGGGAGGUACUGCACUUCUCCAAUGCAGAGAAAAGGGAACGCAAGGAGUGGAGGGAAGUGGAAAGGGAGGACAGAAAAGAAAAUCAGGAGUUUGUAAAGGACGCUACUGAGCAUAUGAUUAAAGUCAUGGAAGAGCAAACACAGAUGCUGAAGUCCUUAAUAAUCCUGCUUACUGAGCAGAUGCAUGCCCGCCUUCCCCUGCAGCACUUUCAGAACUCUUUCACUCCCCCCAAACUCUGCCCACAUAGUCCUUUCUGGGAGUUCUCGGUUUCCCCUCGGACAACUUUCAAAAUGAUAGCUGGACAUACACACAGCUUUGAAAGUCUGCCCUUCCCUGGUACCUCCUUUCCCACCAAGUGCGUGUGGUUUCUUGUUUAAUAAAAGCAAA